RNAcentral lists this ribosomal RNA (984 nucleotides) under Triticum aestivum (bread wheat). RNAcentral's name for it is "partial small subunit ribosomal RNA". The record is from RNAcentral. Lineage: Eukaryota; Viridiplantae; Streptophyta; Magnoliopsida; Poales; Poaceae.
AUGCAAGGCGCUGCCGCAGCCGCCGAGAGGAGGAGCAGGCCUUCGCCUGACAAGGCCGACGAGAGCUCCAAGAAGGCACGACUAGAUCUGCCCGACGGCCACAUGAAGCAAGAGGCGGCCUGUGAAGGAGAUGGGGGCGCCAUCGUUGGGGCGGCGUACAUCCAACGAGUGGAACUCGCCGUGAGGAUCGACAAGCAAAUGCUCCAUUGCCCCCUCUGCACCCACCCCUUCAAGCCCCCGGUCUUCCAGUGCAAAGCGGGGCACCCGGCCUGCAGCGGCUGUGUGGCCCUGCUGCCCUUCAGGCAGUGCAAGGCAUGUGUGGACGGCGGUGGCUUCUUCGACCCCUGCCCUACACUGGACACCUUGGUGUCCUCCACCAGGAUCGGGUGCCCCAACGUCGGCUGCCAGUGGUACGUGACCUACCACGAGGUCACUGAGCACCAGAAAGUGUGCCCGUACGCGCCUUGCCGGUGCACUGAGCCCGGCUGCGGCUACGUCGGCGCGCCGCAGGCGCUCGCCGGUCAUCUCCGCACUGUCCACUUGGUGCCGGUGCGCGCCGUGCAGUACGGCAAGGUCAGCAAGCUUCAGCUAUCGGUGUCGACCAUGCGACUGGUGCUCCUCGACGAUGACAACUGUGUGUUCCUCAUGACCGUGGGCGCGCUCGGCGCCGGCAUCACCGCCGUAUCUGUGGUGUGCGCCAGGGCGAGAGCGGUGACGCGGCCGCGGUUCACAUGCAAGAUGUGGGUCAACCUGGAGACACCCCCGGCAGCAGUAGCGAACUGUGGCAAGGAGGACAUGGUGCUCGUGGACAUGCACAUCAGGAGCAUCUCAUCGCCCGGCGCCGUGGUCGCUGCGGGCGAGCCCACAUUCCUGACAGUGCCGCCAAUGUACCUGGUGCCAGCAGCAGGAGACGGGGCAUCCAUGGAAGUUCCCCUCCACAUCCGCAUCGAUAAGCUCUCCCCUUGGUCCGACGCAUUGGUGUGA